UAGGGAAUUUUUCACAAUGGGCGAAAGCCUGAUGGAGCAAUGCCGCGUGAAUGAUGAAGGUCUUAUAGAUUGUAAAAUUCUUUUAUUUGGGAAGAACGACCAUGAUAGGAAAUGAUCAUGGAAUGACUGUACCAUUUGAAUAAGUAUCGGCUAACUAUGUGCCAGCAGCCGCGGUAAUACAUAGGAUGCAAGCGUUAUCCGGAUUUACUGGGCGUAAAACGAGCGCGGGCGGAUUAGCAAGUUUGGUAUGAAAGGCUUUUGCUUAACAAAAGUUUGUAUCAAAAACUGCUAAUCUGGAGUGUAGUAGGGAGUUCUGGAAUUCCAUGUGGAGCGGUGGAAUGCGUAGAUAUAUGGAGGAACACCGGUGGCGAAAGCGGCUCUCUGGUCUGUAACUGACGCU
Molecule: ribosomal RNA, 400 nt
Filed under: uncultured bacterium
Lineage: Bacteria
Description: bacterial SSU rRNA
Rfam family: Bacterial small subunit ribosomal RNA
Source: RNAcentral